AACGAACGCUGGCGGCGUGGAUAAGACAUGCAAGUCGAACGGGACAAGUAGCAAUAUUUGUCUAGUGCGAACGGGUGCGUAACACGUGGGCAACAUGCCUGGAAGAGCGGGAUAGCCCGGGGAAACUCGGAUUAAUACCGCGUGUGACAACGGGGCGGAUUCGCCCUGUUUUCAAAGGUGGGGACCGCAAGGCCUGCCGCUUCCAGAUUGGCCCGCGUCCUAUCAGCUAGUUGGCGGGGUAACGGCCCACCAAGGCGACGACGGGUAGCUGGUCUGAGAGGACGACCAGCCACACUGGAACUGAGACACGGUCCAGACACCUACGGGUGGCAGCAGUCGAGAAUCUUUCACAAUGGGGGAAACCCUGAUGGAGCGACGCCGCGUGGAGGAUGACGGUCUUCGGAUUGUAAACUCCUGUCAUGAAAGAACAAGCGGAGCGGGUGAACAGCCCGCCGAGUUGAUAGUAUUUCAAGAGGAAGGGACGGCUAACUUCGUGCCAGCAGCCGCGGUAA
This 512-nucleotide ribosomal RNA is filed under the name uncultured bacterium. RNAcentral describes it as "partial 16S ribosomal RNA". It matches the Rfam family "Bacterial small subunit ribosomal RNA", at positions 29 to 523 of the family's 1533-position model. The record is from RNAcentral.